This 379-nucleotide ribosomal RNA is filed under the name uncultured Acholeplasma sp. RNAcentral describes it as "bacterial SSU rRNA". It matches the Rfam family "Bacterial small subunit ribosomal RNA", at positions 996 to 1382 of the family's 1533-position model. The record is from RNAcentral. Lineage: Bacteria; Bacillati; Mycoplasmatota; Mollicutes; Acholeplasmatales; Acholeplasmataceae.
CGUUUAGAGAUAAAGCGGAGGUAGUUCGGGGAGACGAGGUGGUGCAUGGUUGUCGUCAGCUCGUGUCGUGAGAUGUGGGUUAAGUCCCGCAACGAGCGCAACCCUAUUGCUAGUUACCAUCAUUAAGUUGGGGACUCUAGCGAGACUGCCAGUGAUAAACUGGAGGAAGGUGGGGAUGACGUCAAAUCAUCAUGCCCCUUAUGACCUGGGCUACAAACGUGAUACAAUGGCUGGAACAAAGGGAUGCGAAGCAGUGAUGUGGAGCGAAACCCAUAAAAACAGUCUCAGUUCGGAUUGAAGUCUGCAACUCGACUUCAUGAAGUCGGAAUCGCUAGUAAUCGCGGAUCAGAACGCCGCGGUGAAUACGUUCUCGGGGUUU